UACGGAAGGCAGCAGUGGGGAAUAUUGCACAAUGGGCGCAAGCCUGAUGCAGCCAUGCCGCGUGUAUGAAGAAGGCCUUCGGGUUGUAAAGUACUUUCAGUCGUGAGGAAGGUGUUAAGGUUAAUAACCUUAGCAAUUGACGUUAGCGACAGAAGAAGCACCGUCUAACUCCGUGCCAGCAGCCGCGGUAAUACGGAGGGUGCGAGCGUUAAUCGGAAUUACUGGGCGUAAAGGGCACGCAGGCGGUUAAUUAAGUUGGAUGUGAAAUCCCCGGGCUUAACCUGGGAAUGGCAUUCAAGACUGGUUAGCUAGAGUCUUGUAGAGGGGGUAGAAUUCCAUGUGUAGCGGUGAAAUGCGUAGAGAUGUGGAGGAAUACCGGGUGGCGAAGGCGGCCCCUGGGACAAAGGACUGACGCUCAUGUGCGAAAGCGUGGGGAGCAAACAGGGAUUAGAUACC
This 456-nucleotide ribosomal RNA is filed under the name uncultured bacterium. RNAcentral describes it as "bacterial SSU rRNA". It matches the Rfam family "Bacterial small subunit ribosomal RNA", at positions 340 to 786 of the family's 1533-position model. The record is from RNAcentral.